Molecule: transfer RNA, 64 nt
Filed under: Lamprotula tortuosa
Lineage: Eukaryota; Metazoa; Mollusca; Bivalvia; Unionida; Unionidae
Description: tRNA-Arg
Source: RNAcentral
GAAGAAAGCUACUACAGCAAUAUGGUUUCGGCCCAUAUAAACGAAUUAACUGAUUCUCUUCUUU